RNAcentral lists this ribosomal RNA (486 nucleotides) under uncultured bacterium. Its description in RNAcentral is "partial 16S ribosomal RNA". It matches the Rfam family "Bacterial small subunit ribosomal RNA", at positions 28 to 507 of the family's 1533-position model. The record is from RNAcentral.
GAUGAACGCUGGCGGCGUGCCUAAUACAUGCAAGUCGAACGCUGGAGCUCUAGCUUGCUAGAUCGAAGGAGUGGCGAACGGGUGAGUAAUACAUAAGCAACCUACCCACGAAGACUGGGAUAAUCUCUGGAAACGGGGACUAAUACCGGAUAGGUAAUCGGAAGGCAUCUUCUGGUUAUUAAAGGUUAAAAAUACUGGUGGUUGGGCUUAUGGCGCAUUAGUGAGUUGUUGAGGUAACGGCCCACCAAGACGAUGAUGCGUAGCCGGCCUGAGAGGGUGAACGGCCACAUUGGGACUGAGACACGGCCCAGACUCCUACGGGAGGCAGCAGUAGGGAAUUUUAGGCAAUGGGGGCAACCCUGACCGAGCAACGCCGCGUGAGUGAAGACGGCCUUCGGGUUGUAAAGCUCUGUUGUAAGGGAAGAACGGUAGAUAGAGAAUAUCUAAGUGACGGUACCUUACCAGAAAGCCACGGCUAACUACGUG